ACACCCUUAGCUCAGCUGGCAGAGCAACUGACUCUUAAUCAGUAGGUCCAGGGUUCGAGCCCCUGAGGGUGUACCA
This 76-nucleotide transfer RNA is filed under the name Candidatus Cloacimonadota bacterium. RNAcentral describes it as "Candidatus Cloacimonetes bacterium tRNA-Lys". It matches the Rfam family "tRNA". Rfam says of the family: Transfer RNA (tRNA) molecules are approximately 80 nucleotides in length. Their secondary structure includes four short double-helical elements and three loops (D, anti-codon, and T loops). Further hydrogen bonds mediate the characteristic L-shaped molecular structure. tRNAs have two regions of fundamental functional importance: the anti-codon, which is responsible for specific mRNA codon recognition, and the 3' end, to which the tRNAs corresponding amino acid is attached (by aminoacyl-tRNA synthetases). tRNAs cope with the degeneracy of the genetic code in two manners: having more than one tRNA (with a specific anti-codon) for a particular amino acid; and 'wobble' base-pairing, i.e. permitting non-standard base-pairing at the 3rd anti-codon position. RNAcentral also lists the same sequence under 1 other name. Lineage: Bacteria; Pseudomonadati; Candidatus Cloacimonadota. The record is from RNAcentral.